GCGGAAGAAGGUUAGACAAUGGGGUGCAUUGCAUAAUGAGUUCAACCUGGGGACCUGCUAUUUUUAUUGUCUUUUCUACAAGUUCCGAUGAAACAUCUCAUUCAGAUUUUUUAAAAAGCAUGUGAUGCUUUUGAUGUUAUUAUGGCAAAUAACGGUUCACCUCAUUCAAACCAGACCAAACUUGAUUUCGGACACACAAUUCUAAUCUGCAUCUAUGCUGUUACCAUUUUCUUCAUGAUUGUACUUGGAUGCCUUUGCCUAAACAAGUAUCGGUCAAUGAAGAAGAUCAUACGGGAGCUGAGGCAAGGGAGGCCGGCUGUGAUCCCCCAGGUUCCUUCCCAAGAUUCUCCCCCUCCAUCUCCUGGUGUCCUGAAAAUUCCUGAACGGCCGGACCGUACUACAGAGAAACCAUUACAGAGACAACAAACUAAAUCGAGCUGCAGAUUUCCCUGGAAGCCUCCA
Sinocyclocheilus anshuiensis is the source of this 462-nucleotide long non-coding RNA. RefSeq lists it as uncharacterized. Lineage: Eukaryota; Metazoa; Chordata; Actinopteri; Cypriniformes; Cyprinidae. The record is from RefSeq and is a predicted model, not a curated record. The transcript has 4 exons.